This 270-nucleotide ribosomal RNA is filed under the name uncultured bacterium. RNAcentral's name for it is "partial 16S ribosomal RNA". It matches the Rfam family "Bacterial small subunit ribosomal RNA", at positions 29 to 285 of the family's 1533-position model. The record is from RNAcentral.
AGCGAACGCUGGCGGCGUGCUUAACACAUGCAAGUCGAGUGCGCGUUUUUCUGUAGCAAUACAGGAAAAUGGCGCACGGCGCACGGGUGCGUAACACGUGGGCAAUCUGCCCCUCGAGUGGGGAAUAACCCGCCGAAAGGCGGGCUAAUACCGCAUAACAUUCCGCGGACUUCGGUCUGCGGAUUCAAAGUCCGCAAGGACGCUUGAGGAGGAGCCCGCGGCCGAUUAGCUAGUUGGCGGGGUAACGGCCCACCAAGGCGAUGAUCGGUA